RNAcentral lists this unclassified non-coding RNA (1848 nucleotides) under Leishmania donovani. RNAcentral's name for it is "gene:LdHU3.29.4060(CDS-product:hypothetical_prote in_conserved)". Lineage: Eukaryota; Euglenozoa; Kinetoplastea; Trypanosomatida; Trypanosomatidae. The record is from RNAcentral.
CUGGAUACGCACACACCAACCCGCAUAGGGAUCGUGAAGUCAGAGAGAUGUCAGAGGCGGCUCGAACGACGCGGCACUACGUGAGUGACUGUCUCGAGGAGCGAUACCCCUAUGAUGCCUGCAAGGGGUUUGCUGGCAUUCGCCAGCGCGAGGCGGGUCGCGUCUUCAACGGGUACGGGCCCGCCGCCGUCGACGACAUGAUGAAUAGCUUGACGGACCCCUCUGUGCCUACCGAAGAGAAGACGAGGGCUGUGCAUCUGCUGUACGCCCGGUCAGCGUCGCAAGAGACGAAGAUCGAGAUGCUGACGAAAGGGCUGGUGCCUCUUCUUGUAGCGACGCUGCAGCAAUGCCCCGAUCUCCUCUUGAAACAUCAGUGCUUGCUGCUGCUGCGCUCUCUCGGGGUCCUCGCGCAGGGCUGCUUUGCGAUCGUUCGGGAGGGCGCCAUCCCGGUGGUUGCCGGCGCGCUGCACACCGUGUUGUCCCCUGCGGGGUCGUCGGAGGCAGCUCAAGCCUGCUGCAUUGCCGCGGCACACGUCCUGUUCCAGGUGAGCAGCAACAUGUCCGGGCUGCGGUGGAUGCUGAGCUUGGCUCACGACUCCGCUUUCGAGGGGAUUGAAGCGGCGUGGGCUGGGGAGCCGCUGGCGCCGAAGGCACUCGUCUCCUUCAUAGCCGACAGCCUUGCGAGCGAAGCAACGCCUGCCAAGGCCACCACCUACCUCAUUCAGACCCUAGCACGCUUGACCAGCCUCGCGCGCGGCGUGGAAGCGUUUCUUGCCGUCUCCGAUGCCGUUGACGUCAUGGUCGAGCAUCUCAGACACCUCCCGAGACCUCCCACGCAGGACAGCGAGCUGUGCGCGGCGACGCUGGAGGUGAUGUGGAACACGACCCUCGGUCACGCCGGCGCAGCAGUCAUGGAGGAGCGCGGCGUGCCCGAUAUUCUUUUUCAACUCCUUGUGGACACCAGCGGGAGCGCCACUCAGGUGCCCGUGUGCGUGCAGCGGCAGUUGACUGGGGCGCUUUCCGCUGUUUCUCAGCUUACCUCCGUCAAGCAACGCAGCACGCACGCCGUGUCGGCAGCGGAGGCUCGCACCCGCAUUGUCGUCUUGCUCGACUACGUCCGCGAGUGGAACAAGCUUAUUGCGAAGCAAUACACCAACGCAUCCAGGCCGAUCCCAAACGACGCUGCUGCGAUCGUGACGAACCUGAUACAGUGCAUCCGCCUCGCAUCGGAGCUAAAGCCGGUGCGGGACGUCACCCACGCCAUUGUGGAGGCCAUGGAACAGGAGGACACCACGGAGGCCUUCUACUUCCGCCGCCAGCUGUACUUCCACACAAGGUGGGAGGCUGAGUACCACGCAAGCGUGGAGGUGUAGGUCGCCCCUUCCCGCACGUUCUUUUCGUUCUCCUCUUUCUCUCACGACGUGUGAGUGUGUGUGUGUGGGGGGGGUGGAGGGGUCAGCGGCCUGUCUUGUCCCUGCUGCUGCUGCUGCUGCUGCUGCAGAGGCGCCGCAUGCUAGCCGUGCGUCGCGAUGUGCGUUGAUGUAGAAGACGAGGCGCCUUUUUGCUUCUCAUUUUUUUUUCUUGCCAAACCAGCGGCGCUUUCUUCUCCCUCUCUCAACUUGUUUGCCGUCAUCCGCGGUGGACCUCUUGUGCCCCUGCCCAGGCGUUUACGAGCCUCUCGCACGCUCUCACCGCACCAGCUGCGUCGGUGCCUUGUCUGCACGACCGUUGUAGGGUCGGUGAACGCAGAGACGGUGCGGCUGCUGGAGCCCGCAAGGGACACCCGAAGGAAGACGGAGGUGAGCGGCAGAGAGUUAUGUAGUGUACAAUGGACAGCAAACGACGAUG